CUCCUGUGAGCACAAGGCACAGAAAGUAGACCCUGUAACCCUCAGAGGGCCUGAAGGAAAGCGAUGCUGGUGUGACCUGCCCAAGAGGAUGGUGCCCAAGGCAGAGCAUUCUAGACCCUCAUAGGCAACAGAGCCACAUCAAUAUUAAUUUAAAGCUGCUGAAUAUCCUUGGAGAGCUAAUCAAGAAGGUAGAAGUUUUUCCACAUUAAUGUUGUCAAGUGACAGUAGAUUUAAGAGGUAUUGCUAGCUUGUGUCAACUGAUUCUGAUGGUCAAAUAUUUUUAUAAAUCUUUCCCUUUCAUUGCCAUCUGCUGGAUGACAAUCCUUUAUUCUGAUACAGUCAUCUUUACAAAUGACUAACCAAAGGUCUGUUUUGAAAGAUCAGCAGAAAUAGGAAUGGAAGUGAGGAUACAGAGAAUGCACAAACGGGAACCAUGUGAGGACAGUGAGAAGGUGGCCAAAAGAAACCAAAUCUACAGACACCUUGAUCUUCAACUUCUGGCAUCCAAAACGGUCUGAGAAGGAUGCCAGACAC
Molecule: long non-coding RNA, 534 nt
Filed under: Homo sapiens (human)
Lineage: Eukaryota; Metazoa; Chordata; Mammalia; Primates; Hominidae
Description: HSALNT0078020
Source: RNAcentral